CCUGGCUCAGGACGAACGCUGGCGGCGCGCCUAACACAUGCAAGUCGAACGAGCGAGAGAGAGCUUGCUUUCUCGAGCGAGUGGCGAACGGGUGAGUAACGCGUGAGGAACCUGCCUCAAAGAGGGGGACAACAGUUGGAAACGACUGCUAAUACCGCAUAAGCCCACAGCUCGGCAUCGAGCAGAGGGAAAAGGAGCAAUCCGCUUUGAGAUGGCCUCGCGUCCGAUUAGCUAGUUGGUGAGGUAAUGGCCCACCAAGGCGACGAUCGGUAGCCGGACUGAGAGGUUGAACGGCCACAUUGGGACUGAGACACGGCCCAGACUCCUACGGGAGGCAGCAGUGGGGAAUAUUGCACAAUGGGGGAAACCCUGAUGCAGCGACGCCGCGUGGAGGAAGAAGGUCUUCGGAUUGUAAACUCCUGUUGUUGAGGAAGAUAAUGACGGUACUCAACAAGGAAGUGACGGCUAACUACGUGCCAGCAGCCGCGGUAAAACGUAGGUCACAAGCGUUGUCCGGAAUUACUGGGUGUAAAGGGAGCGCAGGCGGGAAGACAAGUUGGAAGUGAAAUCCAUGGGCUCAACCCAUGAACUGCUUUCAAAACUGUUUUCCGUGAGUAGUGCAGAGGUAGGCGGAAUUCCCGGGGUAGCGGUGGAAUGCGUAGAUAUCGGGAGGAACACCAGUGGCGAAGGCGGCCUACUGGGCACCAACUGACGCUGAGGCUCGAAAGUGUGGGUAGCAAACAGGAUUAGAUACCCUGGUAGUCCACACUGUAAACGAUGAUUACUAGGUGUUGGAGGAUUGACCCCUUCAGUGCCGCAGUUAACACAAUAAGUAAUCCACCUGGGGAGUACGACCGCAAGGUUGAAACUCAAAGGAAUUGACGGGGGCCCGCACAAGCAGUGGAGUAUGUGGUUUAAUUCGACGCAACGCGAAGAACCUUACCAAGUCUUGACAUCCCUUGACGAUGCUGGAAACAGUAUUUCUCUUCGGAGCAAGGAGACAGGUGGUGCAUGGUUGUCGUCAGCUCGUGUCGUGAGAUGUUGGGUUAAGUCCCGCAACGAGCGCAACCCUUAUGGUCAGUUACUACGCAAGAGGACUCUGGCCAGACUGCCGUUGACAAAACGGAGGAAGGUGGGGAUGACGUCAAAUCAUCAUGCCCUUUAUGACUUGGGCUACACACGUACUACAAUGGCGUUAAACAAAGAGAAGCAAGACCGCGAGGUGGAGCAAAACUCAGAAACAACGUCCCAGUUCGGACUGCAGGCUGCAACUCGCCUGCACGAAGUCGGAAUUGCUAGUAAUCGCAGAUCAGCAUGCUGCGGUGAAUACGUUCCCGGGCCUUGUACACACCGCCC
RNAcentral lists this ribosomal RNA (1356 nucleotides) under uncultured bacterium. RNAcentral's name for it is "bacterial SSU rRNA". It matches the Rfam family "Bacterial small subunit ribosomal RNA", at positions 18 to 1395 of the family's 1533-position model. The record is from RNAcentral.